AUUAUGAGACUGACGCGCUGCCUACUGCGCUAACGAGGCUGCUCGGCGACCACUUCGCGCCGCGGCUUUUGUGGAGAUAGGGGUCGCCCCUCGCGCCCGUGCGUCCCGCUUCCGGCGCCCGAAACUGUGCCGCGCCGGCCGUUGUCCAGCAAGAGAAAGAAAAAGCCCAUUUCUUACAAAGCAGCAACUCAGCCAAGAACGCACUCACCAGUCAAUACUUAAUAUCAUAAAAAUCCAGAAAAGAAAGCAACACAGACUCCACUCUUUAAGACUUCAAAACUGAUACUUUGUUGUUUGGCAGAAGCCACCAGGAGAGUUCCAGGCGCCGCGGCAGGGGGACUGGGAGAGGGGACUGCGCCCAGAAUGAAGGCUCGGGACAAAAGCAGUUGCGCAAACGCGCCAAGGCUGGGCGUCGAGUGACCGCGGGCGGAGGUCACCAGCGGCCACUCCCCGGAAGCCACCCACGGACCACGCGCGCCCCUGCACGCAGAGGGGGCCAGGGCUCCACGGGCGAGCGGCGACCCUGCCUCCCGGAGACGGCGCGGCCUGCCCUGCGCGCC
This 560-nucleotide long non-coding RNA is filed under the name Homo sapiens (human). Its description in RNAcentral is "non-protein coding lnc-MAP1LC3B-7:2". Lineage: Eukaryota; Metazoa; Chordata; Mammalia; Primates; Hominidae. The record is from RNAcentral.